Molecule: ribosomal RNA, 407 nt
Filed under: uncultured bacterium
Lineage: Bacteria
Description: bacterial SSU rRNA
Rfam family: Bacterial small subunit ribosomal RNA
Source: RNAcentral
AUUGAACGCUGGCGGCAUGCUUUACACAUGCAAGUCGAACGGGCUGGGGGCAACUCCAGUCAGUGGCGAACGGGUGAGUAAUACAUCGGAACGUACCUCGUAGUGGGGGAUAACUCGGCGAAAGCCGUGCUAAUACCGCAUAUGCUCUACGGAGGAAAGCAGGGGACCGUAAACAGGCCUUGUGCUAUGGGAGCGGCCGAUGUCCGAUUAGCUAGUUGGUGAGGUAAUGGCNCACCAAGGCGACGAUCGGUAGCUGGUCUGAGAGGAUGAUCAGCCACACUGGGACUGAGACACGGCCCAGACUCCUACGGGAGGCAGCAGUGGGGAAUUUUGGACAAUGGGCGCAAGCCUGAUCCAGCCAUGCCGCGUGAGUGAUGAAGGCCUUAGGGUUGUAAAGCUCUUUCGGC